This is a small nucleolar RNA of Leptidea sinapis, 69 nucleotides long. The record is from RefSeq and is a predicted model, not a curated record. Lineage: Eukaryota; Metazoa; Arthropoda; Insecta; Lepidoptera; Pieridae.
UGUGAUGAAAAAAACUACUUGAAUAAUCCAUGUGGGUUUAAAAUAUCGAGCUUUUUAACACUGAAAUAA